Molecule: non-coding RNA, 463 nt
Organism: Camelina sativa (false flax)
Lineage: Eukaryota; Viridiplantae; Streptophyta; Magnoliopsida; Brassicales; Brassicaceae
Source: RefSeq, a predicted model, not a curated record
CUUAAAUAGAAAAGAUCAGCUUUUGAGGUGGAAAUCAGAAGAGACCCACCUCAACAAACAAGAAGGAAUAAAAGAAGCAUUUACUUAAUUAGCCUUUGCUUCCCUCUCUGUGUAUUGAAAAGGUAAUACCCAACUGGAUUUUCUUUGUCAUUUUUGUUUUAAAAGAUAAGGACAAAACAAAAAGAAGUAAAACAACUGUCACAAACCCAAAAAUAAAAUAUAAAGACAGGAUUUUACAAUUACAAGAAUAAGUUGUCUUCAUUGCGUUUCCUGUUUCUCUGGCGUCACCUUAAAAUGUUCACUUUCAAUGGAGGAGGGCCUCUUGGUGACAGCUUGCAAAUCAAAGUGCAUGUGUGAGAGAGCUCCAUAUUACAAAAAGGGUUGUUUUGUUCUGACUUUUGACUCUUCUCUUUGAGUAAUGUAAACAUAUAUAUUUAUUUAGCUUUGACCUUUACCUUGAAGA